UGGGGAAUAUUGCACAAUGGGCGCAAGCCUGAUGCAGCCAUGCCGCGUGUAUGAAGAAGGCCUUCGGGUUGUAAAGUACUUUCAGUCGGGAGGAAGGUGGUAAGGUUAAUAACCUUGGCAAUUGACGUUACCGACAGAAGAAGCACCGGCUAACUCCGUGCCAGCAGCCGCGGUAAUACGGAGGGUGCAAGCGUUAAUCGGAAUUACUGGGCGUAAAGCGCACGCAGGCGGUUGAUUGAGUCAGAUGUGAAAUCCCCGGGCUUAACCCGGGAAUUGCAUCUGAUAAUGGUCAGCUAGAGUCUUGUAGAGAGGGGUAGGAUUCCAUGUGUAGCGGUGAAAUGCGUAGAGAUGUGGAGGAAUACCGGUGGCGAAGGCGGCCCCCUGGACAAAGACUGACGCUCAGGUGCGAAAGCGUGGGGAGCAAACAGG
RNAcentral lists this ribosomal RNA (429 nucleotides) under Chloroflexota bacterium. RNAcentral describes it as "Chloroflexi bacterium partial 16S ribosomal RNA". It matches the Rfam family "Bacterial small subunit ribosomal RNA", at positions 355 to 776 of the family's 1533-position model. Lineage: Bacteria; Bacillati; Chloroflexota. The record is from RNAcentral.